AUGGCCACACAUCACCUCACUGCGCUCCCUCUUCCGGCGUGGGCCAACCAUAAGCUUAGCAAGAUCUCUCGCAACUUCAUAUGGCAAGGCGACAAUUCCGAGAAUGCGACCGGAGGGCACUCCCUGGUAAACUGGAAGACGGUGUGCAGGCCAAAGGCCCUAGGUGGGCUGGGAAUCACAGACCUAGAGAGAUUUGGUCGGGCUCUCCGCUUACGCUGGCCAUGGCUAAUGUGUACCGACCCUGACCGUCAGUGGGUGGGCUCUGCCCUACCCUGCGACGACUCGGAUAUGGCGCUAUUCAGAGCUUCGACCUCCAUCGUGCUGGGUAACGGCCACAAAGCUCUGUUCUGGCAUGAUGACUGGACCGGAAAGGGUCCCCUUAGGAUGCUGGCUCCCGGAUUAUACAAAAUCGCCACAAGAAAGCAGAGAACAGUGUCCAAGGAGCUGCACGAGGAUAACUGGAUCAGAUCAGUCGCCCGCCUUCAGUCUCCCAUACACCUGCAGGAAUUCAUCUCGAUAGCAUCUCUGACCUCCCAGGUUACACUGUCUAUGGACAGGGAGGACUCCAUCUCCUGA
RNAcentral lists this ribosomal RNA (576 nucleotides) under Triticum aestivum (bread wheat). Its description in RNAcentral is "partial small subunit ribosomal RNA". Lineage: Eukaryota; Viridiplantae; Streptophyta; Magnoliopsida; Poales; Poaceae. The record is from RNAcentral.